RNAcentral lists this ribosomal RNA (343 nucleotides) under Ortalia sp. CO827. Its description in RNAcentral is "partial 12S ribosomal RNA". The record is from RNAcentral. Lineage: Eukaryota; Metazoa; Arthropoda; Insecta; Coleoptera; Coccinellidae.
UUUGAAAUUAAUUUGUUGCCAAAUUAUUAAUAGUUAUGUUCUUUAAAGUUAAAUAUUUUGGCGGUAUUUUAGUCUUUUCAGAGGAACCUGUUCUGUAAUUGAUAAUCCACGAUUAUAUUUACUUUUAUUAGAAAUUUAUAUAUCGUUGUUAAAAAAUAUUUUAUUAGAAUUAAAUAUUUAUAAUUCUUUUUUAGAAAAAAUUCAAAUCAAGAUAUAGUUUAUAUAAAAGAAGAAAUGGGUUACAUUUAUUUUACUAAUGAAUUAAGUAUUUUAAAUAUUUAUGAAAUUGGAUUUGAAAGUAAUUAAUUUUAUAUUUUUUUAAUGAUUAAGCUCUAAAAUAUGC